GUCUAGCACAGAGGUCGCGUUAGGGAUAGAAGUGGAAAUCCUUUUUAUCGAUGCGCGAGCAGCAUAAAAAGAUUGCAACGGAUAGCGCGGCCGCAG
This 96-nucleotide small RNA is filed under the name Nonlabens sp. Hel1_33_55. Its description in RNAcentral is "Flavo-1 RNA". It matches the Rfam family "Flavo-1 RNA". Lineage: Bacteria; Pseudomonadati; Bacteroidota; Flavobacteriia; Flavobacteriales; Flavobacteriaceae. The record is from RNAcentral.